AUGCAGUCGAACGGUAGCACAGAGGAGCUUGCUCUUGGGUGACGAGUGGCGGACGGGUGAGUAAUGUCUGGGAAACUGCCCGAUGGAGGGGGAUAACUACUGGAAACGGUAGCUAAUACCGCAUAACGUCGCAAGACCAAAGAGGGGGACCUUCGGGCCUCUUGCCAUCGGAUGUGCCCAGAUGGGAUUAGCUAGUAGGUGGGGUAACGGCUCACCUAGGCGACGAUCCCUAGCUGGUCUGAGAGGAUGACCAGCCACACUGGAACUGAGACACGGUCCAGACUCCUACGGGAGGCAGCAGUGGGGAAUAUUGCACAAUGGGCGCAAGCCUGAUGCAGCCAUGCCGCGUGUAUGAAGAAGGCCUUCGGGUUGUAAAGUACUUUCAGCGAGGAGGAAGGUGUUGUGGUUAAUAACCGCAGCAAUUGACGUUACUCGCAGAAGAAGCACCGGCUAACUCCGUGCCAGCA
Molecule: ribosomal RNA, 467 nt
Filed under: Citrobacter freundii
Lineage: Bacteria; Pseudomonadati; Pseudomonadota; Gammaproteobacteria; Enterobacterales; Enterobacteriaceae
Description: bacterial SSU rRNA
Rfam family: Bacterial small subunit ribosomal RNA
Source: RNAcentral